Molecule: long non-coding RNA, 1448 nt
Organism: Ahaetulla prasina
Lineage: Eukaryota; Metazoa; Chordata; Lepidosauria; Squamata; Colubridae
Exons: 3
Source: RefSeq, a predicted model, not a curated record
CCCACUCUUCAUACCACCUCCCUCCUUCAAUCUUAGUGCAUCUCUCUCUGGGGCUACUCUGUACCAAAGCCAGCUUCGCUCUCCCCGUGUUUUAGGAGACCAUCUAAUUGACAGGACUCAUAAUCCCCCACCUUAUACACCACCCCCCAUGCUUAGCCCCAUACGGCAAGGAUCUGGACUCUUCAGCAGCGUCAUCAUAUCUUCUCAUGGUACAUCUCAUCCCCAGCUGCCCCUUACUCCCCUGACACCCACCCCCCGGAUUCUCCUCUGUCAAUCUAAUAGUAUUGAUGGAAAUAGUGUUCUUAUGACCCCAAGACCUGGAGAACAGACUAUUCAUAUUGAACCGUGUAUCAACAUUGGCUCAAGAUUUCAGGCUGAUAUCCCUGAACUUAAAGAUAUAGCAAUGGUGGAGACGGAGGAUCACAAGGCAACGUUAGUUUGGAAACCAUGGCCAGAACUGGAGGACAAAACUUUUCAACAAAGAGGUACUAUAUAUUUAUACCAGUAAAAACUCUUUUAUACCGGUAAAAGAGUGAAUUUUUGCUUUGCUAUGUUUUAUGUAUAUCGCCACCCACUCACCAAGAUCACUUUGGGUAGGUAAUAGGAAUUAAUCCAAACUCAUAGUUUGAAAUAAAAAAGUGAGUGUUUUCAGAAUUGCUGUCUGUUAGCUUUAAAAAUUUAGAUUUUCUUGGUACUUCACUGCAAAAAUAGAGUUGAAUCAAGUCUAUGUUCAGUAGAUUCUACUAUUAAAGAAUUGGGAGUAGAUAACAGUUUACUCUGAUCUCCUAAUUUCUGGAGGUUAAUGUCAAAGACACCAGAGGAGGAAAGAGAGCCAAGGGAAAAUAGUUUUAUUUAUCCAUUUUCUUUAGAAGCAAAUCUCCAUCAGAUCCUUUUUGAACAGGGCCAGCUAACAAUUUAACAACCGGUUCUCCCGAACUGACCCGAAUCGGCUGAAUCCCACCACUGCCUACAUUGUUUAUGUAAAUUCUUCAUUGGGCUAUCCUUAUACUUCCUAAGUUUGUUUUCUUCAAAAGACUCUAUUUACUAAGAAUAGUGAAUACCUCUAUAUCCUUUCCAAUAUUUUGUGAUGGAAGGUAACACUCAUUUUCACAACAUGCUGUUGUAUACAUGUUCAUCAGAGAAAUACCAUAGGAAUAAACAAGAAAAGAGUUACAAAAAGAAAAGAAUCUCUUCCAGAUGUUUUAAAGUGGUGUAAUCACAAAAAUGCUAUUUGGCCCUUUAGCCUGUUUUAAGAACUGUGUGAGAAAACAAUAGACUUUCAUUUGUUUUACCUUCUUUUUCAUUGUAAUAUGAAUGUAUUGGUUUCCUGAUACUUCCUGUAUGUGUUUUUAAAAACUGAUACAGCAUAGGACAAUGCAAUUCAUAAUUAUACAGCAGCACAUAAAAUGUGUCUGGUCUUUUUAUUUGCGAGGUCUGCAUCCUUGCUU